GGGCACUUGGUCUAGGGGUAUGAUGUGAGUAAUAUCCACUAUCUAACCUUAAUUCGAAAGCUAACAAAUGAUAUAGUUUCGCUUCGCAUCAAAUAUGCAACAUGUGAAAGGUCGUGGGUUCAAUUCCCACAGUGUCCA
This is a non-coding RNA of Delitschia confertaspora ATCC 74209, 138 nucleotides long. NCBI's taxonomy places the organism in Eukaryota, Fungi, Ascomycota, Dothideomycetes, Pleosporales, Delitschiaceae. The record is from the annotation of a GenBank genome assembly.